AUGUUGUAUGGUGAUUGGGAUGAAGCAUACAACCGACUUCGUAGGUUGUUGGGAGCUAUGGCCGCCACUAACCCGGGCAUGCUAGUCAUCUCCAUCGAUGGCACCUUCUUGACCGGACAAUUCAAGGGCACUCUAUUGGUUGUAAUAGGGAAUGAUGCCAAUAACCGGUUUGUGCCUUUGGCUUUUGCUCUGGUUGAGGUGGAGAAAAAUGAUAACUGGGAGUGGUUCUUGCGUCUUUUGAGAACAAAGAAACAUCAAGAAAGGACGAAGUGGGCACAAGCUUUCGAUGAAGAUGGCCGGAGGUACGGUCAAAUGACAAGCAACAUGGAAGAAUGCUUCAACAUGGUGCUCAAGGGUGUCUGUGCAUUGCCCAUGGCAUCGACCAGAUGA
RNAcentral lists this ribosomal RNA (390 nucleotides) under Triticum aestivum (bread wheat). RNAcentral describes it as "partial small subunit ribosomal RNA". Lineage: Eukaryota; Viridiplantae; Streptophyta; Magnoliopsida; Poales; Poaceae. The record is from RNAcentral.